Echinops telfairi (small Madagascar hedgehog) is the source of this 103-nucleotide small nucleolar RNA. Lineage: Eukaryota; Metazoa; Chordata; Mammalia; Afrosoricida; Tenrecidae. The record is from Ensembl.
AUCCUUUUCUGGUGCACUGGUAUGACGAUUGGGUCUUCACGCGUUUGUGUGAUACGUGCCUCCCUUAAUCCUUGUUACAAGUCGGCACAUUAUCCGUCUGACA